Molecule: ribosomal RNA, 1361 nt
Filed under: uncultured bacterium
Lineage: Bacteria
Description: bacterial SSU rRNA
Rfam family: Bacterial small subunit ribosomal RNA
Source: RNAcentral
AUUGAACGCUGGCGGCAGGCCUAACACAUGCAAGUCGAGCGGUAGCACAGAGAGCUUGCUCUCGGGUGACGAGCGGCGGACGGGUGAGUAAUGUCUGGGAAACUGCCUGAUGGAGGGGGAUAACUACUGGAAACGGUAGCUAAUACCGCAUAACGUCGCAAGACCAAAGUGGGGGACCUUCGGGCCUCAUGCCAUCAGAUGUGCCCAGAUGGGAUUAGCUAGUAGGUGGGGUAACGGCUCACCUAGGCGACGAUCCCUAGCUGGUCUGAGAGGAUGACCAGCCACACUGGAACUGAGACACGGUCCAGACUCCUACGGGAGGCAGCAGCGGGGAAUAUUGCACAAUGGGCGCAAGCCUGAUGCAGCCAUGCCGCGUGUGUGAAGAAGGCCUUCGGGUUGUAAAGCACUUUCAGCGGGGAGGAAGGCGUUAAGGUUAAUAACCUUGGCGAUUGACGUUACCCGCAGAAGAAGCACCGGCUAACUCCGUGCCAGCAGCCGCGGUAAUACGGAGGGUGCAAGCGUUAAUCGGAAUUACUGGGCGUAAAGCGCACGCAGGCGGUCUGUCAAGUCGGAUGUGAAAUCCCCGGGCUCAACCUGGGAACUGCAUUCGAAACUGGCAGGCUAGAGUCUUGUAGAGGGGGGUAGAAUUCCAGGUGUAGCGGUGAAAUGCGUAGAGAUCUGGAGGAAUACCGGUGGCGAAGGCGGCCCCCUGGACAAAGACUGACGCUCAGGUGCGAAAGCGUGGGGAGCAAACAGGAUUAGAUACCCUGGUAGUCCACGCCGUAAACGAUGUCGAUUUGGAGGUUGUGCCCUUGAGGCGUGGCUUCCGGAGCUAACGCGUUAAAUCGACCGCCUGGGGAGUACGGCCGCAAGGUUAAAACUCAAAUGAAUUGACGGGGGCCCGCACAAGCGGUGGAGCAUGUGGUUUAAUUCGAUGCAACGCGAAGAACCUUACCUGGUCUUGACAUCCACAGAACUUAGCAGAGAUGCUUUGGUGCCUUCGGGAACUGUGAGACAGGUGCUGCAUGGCUGUCGUCAGCUCGUGUUGUGAAAUGUUGGGUUAAGUCCCGCAACGAGCGCAACCCUUAUCCUUUGUUGCCAGCGGUCCGGCCGGGAACUCAAAGGAGACUGCCAGUGAUAAACUGGAGGAAGGUGAGGAUGACGUCAAGUCAUCAUGGCCCUUACGACCAGGGCUACACACGUGCUACAAUGGCAUAUACAAAGAGAAGCGACCUCGCGAGAGCAAGCGGACCUCAUAAAGUAUGUCGUAGUCCGGAUUGGAGUCUGCAACUCGACUCCAUGAAGUCGGAAUCGCUAGUAAUCGUAGAUCAGAAUGCUACGGUGAAUACGUUCCCGGGCCU